RNAcentral lists this transfer RNA (41 nucleotides) under Polygonatum odoratum. RNAcentral describes it as "partial tRNA-His". Lineage: Eukaryota; Viridiplantae; Streptophyta; Magnoliopsida; Asparagales; Asparagaceae. The record is from RNAcentral.
GGCGGAUGUAGCCAAGUGGAUCAAGGCAGUGGAUUGUGACC